Solanum lycopersicum (tomato) is the source of this 2525-nucleotide long non-coding RNA. RefSeq lists it as uncharacterized. NCBI's taxonomy places the organism in Eukaryota, Viridiplantae, Streptophyta, Magnoliopsida, Solanales, Solanaceae. The record is from RefSeq and is a predicted model, not a curated record.
CUACUAUUUGGCAUUACUAGAAUACGAGUAUGAUCGAACUAAUUACAUGCAUCAUUGCUCUUUCAAUCGUCUUGCAUGGUAACACCAGAGAAUGAUGCCCUCAAGAUCAGCUAGCUACAUAUUCGUAUCUACAAACUUCUCUGAAGGUAAAAUCAUGAACAACAUUAGGCCCCAACUUGAUAUAUCCAAUUUUUGCCCUCUUGGAUUUCAAGAAAAUAGUGUUCUUAUUGUCUUGCAAAGAAAUUAGGGUGCAAAUCAAUUUAAAUAUUAGGAUUAGAUGCAAAUCACAAACAAAACUUAGUAACAGAAAACAAAAUGCAGCUUUCAGUUAAAUGACAAUUUCCAGUAACACGAGUUUCUCCAACAACGAUUCAGGAGACAUUUUAUGCAAUACAAAAAUGUUGUAUUUGAUAGUCAUAAAAAAAAAAAGGUGCACAAAAGAAAAAAGAGCUGUCAAGUAAGGUAGCCUCCACACAGCAGCAACCUUAAGGAUGGCCAGAUUCAUCUGCAGGCACAGAAACAAAUUAGAUGUUUAGUGACUUUACAUACUGGGAUAAUCCAGUUGUACAAGAAAUGGUUUCGUAUAACAAAUAUCAACCAAGUGAAAUGCAAUUUUCCUUUACAUUAGGAAGCCAAGGAUCCCGAGGACCACAUGGCUUGAGGAAUCUUACUUUACAUACCAAAUUUAAAACCAUGGGAUAUUAAACUUUGAUAGAGCCUUUAGAUCAGAUGGUUUGGUUUAACUUACUAAUGAAAAAAAAAAUGAAGAUAAAAUUCCUGUUCAAAAUAAUCCAGAGUUUUUAAGAGAUUAUAGAAAAUCAUCCAAGGAUUCUUUUAUCCCGCUUCAAUGGGAUAAUAUCAUGACUGCCUUACAUGGGCUAUUUCAUCACAUUGCUCCUCAGCAUAACUCCUAGUUUUAAGCAACAUAUGAUGGUAUCAUUCCACUAUAUUACUGACAGAUGGUACAGCUGAACUAAAGUUUGAUAUUGAUUUGCAAUUAACAGUCCAUGAGUGAUACUAAUAAUAGUACACUGUACCCCCAACAAGUCAGGUUUAAUUCUAUGAAGAAGAAUAUCUGCAACCAAUCAGAAAGCAAUCAUCUAUAAGAGGAAACAUUUUCAAGAUUGGCCGUCAAUGUGAUGGAAUAGCCCAUUAAAAGAGACCUAGGGGGCCUCACACACCCAGUUGGUUCACAGUUAGGUCCAGCAGCUAUGUUGCUCGGACUCUCAGAAAAUGCUCUUGCAAACAUGUCGGAUCCUCCAAAAAUGUACUACUUUCGGAGGAUCUGACACACACUCAACAACACUUUUUAAGAGUCUAGGCAACAUAGUCUAACAACAGCACCUGACUCAUGUUUUUUCUUUCUAUGCUCUAGCCAACUCAAACAUGAUUACUUAUAUAUAGGUCAAGGUCAAUUUAAGCUUUUUAGAAUAGAAGCACCCCAAGGAUAAACCAUGUCAAUGCUUUAAUUAUGCAAGAGAAAACCAAACAAAGUAAAAUUAGCUUCCCAAUUUCUGAACAAUAACUCAACACUUUAAUCCUAUUUCUUUACAGUUAGUUACUUUUUUGAUGUCCCUUUCGCUUCACUUUUUUUCUUUUUAUAACAAGAUAAAGCACCAAUGAGGCACAUUAAAAAGAUUUAGAUAAGGUCAACAGAGACACCUACAUCAUCUACAUGGUCCUGGACCCCUGGUUGCCCCAAAAUAAUUGUUGUCAUCCAGUUAAGUAUUUUUCUUCACAGCUUCCUAAUCAAAACAUCUCCUGCUUCUUUAUAAGCUGUGUACAAUGGGUAUCAUUUCCCAUAUUUUGCUUCUCUCCAUCCAACUUUGGUAUGCAUAUACAAUGGUAUUGUCUCCCAUGUCUUCUUUGCUUCUUAUACCAUUAGCACAUCAAUUUUCUUUUUCAUGACUGUUCCGGACAAGCUAGAAACAUAUUCCACAUAUGUUCUCUUGUUCAAACAAGUAGCAUCUAUUUCUAAAAAUUCAUCCCUUGUUCUUUAGGUUGUCAGGAGUUAGGAUGGCCUCAUGUACCAUAUGAAAGCAAUUUUUGGUGAAAUUUUUUUCCUCCAAAAUUCUUUCAGAAAUGUUUCCACGGGGACAUUCCCCUUGGACAAACUAAAAAAGUAGAAUUUACCGGAUAAACUGCUGGCCUUAUUUCCCUUCUUCUUUGAUUCAUCUCUGUUUUGUAGCUGAGAUUCUUUCAGACUCAACCAGAUCUUCUAGAUUUUGUACAGCUCACAAUCAAGCGGUUGCAGCUCACCUUUUAGCCUGUCUCUUGUUCUUUCUAUUAACCUGAAAAUAUCCUUGUUAAUAGGCUCUGUAUCCUAUUCCAACCGGUUGCAGUUCUUAGCAUGAGUUUGUAAGUUCUUUCCUCAACAUUACACCUAAAAGAUACCUACUUCAAAACUUUGCCUGGCCACGUAUAUAUAUAUUCGUGGCAGAAAUCCUUUCUUUAACUAUUUGCCUCGCUACAUAUAUAUAUAUUCGAUGGCAGAAAUCCUUUCUUUGACCAUAAGUCACUCCUGA